This 656-nucleotide unclassified non-coding RNA is filed under the name Hevea brasiliensis (rubber tree). Lineage: Eukaryota; Viridiplantae; Streptophyta; Magnoliopsida; Malpighiales; Euphorbiaceae. The record is from RNAcentral.
CCUAAAUAAAGAAACUGCUUAAAGGUAGAGAAGGAGAUGAUAAAUCCUAAGGGAAAGAGGAGGAGGAGAGAUUGAGGAAGGCGUCGGCAUUUUCUUCAUGUACAAGUAAGAAUUGAAGAGGAAUACUGAGCUUGGGGGUUUUGAGAGAAAUAUUGGAAAAUAGUAUUUAAUAAUCAAAAGGAGUUGUAAAGAAACGUGUAAACGAGUGGGCGUGGAAUUUAUUCCAUAAUUAAUUGUAAGGAAUAUAAUCUGAAACCUAACUUGUUUCCCAGGAGAAUAGUUCUACAAUUAUUUUCCAAUUGAUAUUGUGCAAAAUGAAGAUAAAAAGAAGGUCUAUUCCCCCUUAAAUUCUCAAAAUUCAUCUAGAUAAUAAUAUAUGAUGCAGUCUAGGCCCAAAGAGUCAAGAUUGGUCAAUUCAGGUUAAUUAAAUUCAAAUUUCGAUUUUAUUCAAGAUUUGAACUAAAAGAAAUAAGGUUGGCUAAAAAGGUGAUCUCUAACAGAAAGGCUAUCUCUAUGAAAUUUGGAUUAAGUAACGUUGAGAAGAUAAACAUCUUUAAAGAUCAAAAUAGUUGGAGAUCAUGGCUGAGAUCAAACACGCUAACGCAUGAUGUUAUAUAUAAAUAAGGAAAAGGGCAAAAUCCAGUCGAAAUUUUAAG